This is a long non-coding RNA of Cyanistes caeruleus (blue tit), 492 nucleotides long. RefSeq lists it as uncharacterized. The record is from RefSeq and is a predicted model, not a curated record. Lineage: Eukaryota; Metazoa; Chordata; Aves; Passeriformes; Paridae.
GUAACAGCUACUGCUGGCCAAGCUGGGCAGGGCACUCUCAGCCCUAGAAAAUCUGUGGUUUUCUGGGCAGGCUGACUCCUGACUCCAGUGAGAAGAAAGUUCUCCCAUCCCUGAGCCAGCACCAGGCGUUCUGCUGGCCAAGGUGCUUCAUUCUCCUCCUGGCUGUUUCCUGAGCUGUUUCCUGAGCUGCACUGCACUAUUUUACACACCAAAUAGAGAAAGCUGCACUUCCUGAGGACAGCUGAAAUUGCUGAUUGGCUUGCCUUGAUCUCCUGUGGUGCUGAGCUCCCUGUGCUGUCAGUCCUGGUGUCCCUCUGUCACCUCACACCCAGCACAUCCUGUGGGAUCAGCGUGGGAUGCUCAAAUGCUCAGGUGAACCCGUGUGUGGGGGAAGGACUGGUUUGGAAUCCGUGCCAUCAGCAAAGCUCUGAUCUGCUCAGCGCCUCAAGCCUUCAAACUUGAGCAUCUCUCUGCCUCAGGAGUGCUGCCAGA